Molecule: non-coding RNA, 94 nt
Organism: Brachypodium distachyon (stiff brome)
Lineage: Eukaryota; Viridiplantae; Streptophyta; Magnoliopsida; Poales; Poaceae
Source: Rfam
UAAAUACUCCCUCCGUCCCAAAAUAAGUGACGUGUAUUUGUAUAGAUUCUUAUACAAAUUCACGUCACUUAUUUUGGGACGGAGGGAGUAGUAC